GCGGAGGAAAAGAAACCAACAGGGAUUGCCUCAGUAACGGCGAGUGAAGCGGCAACAGCUCAAAUUUGAAAUCUGGAGUCUUUCGGCUUCCGAGUUGUAAUUUGAAGAGGAUGUUUCGGUGCGACCUGGGCCUAAGUUCCUUGGAACAGGACGUCAUGGAGGGUGAGAAUCCCGUACAUGGCUGCAGGUUUGCUUCUAUGUGAAACUCCUUCGAAGAGUCGAGUUGUUUGGGAAUGCAGCUCAAAAUGGGUGGUAAAUUUCAUCUAAAGCUAAAUAUUGGCGGGAGACCGAUAGCGCACAAGUAGAGUGAUCGAAAGAUGAAAAGCACUUUGAAAAGAGAGUUAAACAGUACGUGAAAUUG
Molecule: ribosomal RNA, 361 nt
Filed under: Xanthomonas oryzae pv. oryzae
Lineage: Bacteria; Pseudomonadati; Pseudomonadota; Gammaproteobacteria; Lysobacterales; Lysobacteraceae
Description: eukaryotic LSU rRNA
Rfam family: Eukaryotic large subunit ribosomal RNA
Source: RNAcentral